RNAcentral lists this ribosomal RNA (2891 nucleotides) under Salmonella enterica subsp. enterica. Its description in RNAcentral is "bacterial LSU rRNA". It matches the Rfam family "Bacterial large subunit ribosomal RNA". The record is from RNAcentral. Lineage: Bacteria; Pseudomonadati; Pseudomonadota; Gammaproteobacteria; Enterobacterales; Enterobacteriaceae.
UUGUGAGGUUAAGCGACUAAGCGUACACGGUGGAUGCCCUGGCAGUCAGAGGCGAUGAAGGGCGUGCUAAUCUGCGAUAAGCGCCGGUAAGGUGAUAUGAACCGUUAUAACCGGCGAUACCCGAAUGGGGAAACCCAGUGUGAUUCGUCACACUAUCAUUAACUGAAUCCAUAGGUUAAUGAGGCGAACCGGGGGAACUGAAACAUCUAAGUACCCCGAGGAAAAGAAAUCAACCGAGAUUCCCCCAGUAGCGGCGAGCGAACGGGGAGGAGCCCAGAGCCUGAAUCAGCAUGUGUGUUAGUGGAAGCGUCUGGAAAGGCGCGCGAUACAGGGUGACAGCCCCGUACACAAAAGCGCAUGUGCUGUGAGCUCGAUGAGUAGGGCGGGACACGUGGUAUCCUGUCUGAAUAUGGGGGGACCAUCCUCCAAGGCUAAAUACUCCUGACUGACCGAUAGUGAACCAGUACCGUGAGGGAAAGGCGAAAAGAACCCCGGCGAGGGGAGUGAAAAAGAACCUGAAACCGUGUACGUACAAGCAGUGGGAGCACAGGUUUACCUGUGUGACUGCGUACCUUUUGUAUAAUGGGUCAGCGACUUAUAUUCUGUAGCAAGGUUAACCGUAUAGGGGAGCCGGAGGGAAACCGAGUCUUAAUUGGGCGUUAAGUUGCAGGGUAUAGACCCGAAACCCGGUGAUCUAGCCAUGGGCAGGUUGAAGGUUGGGUAACACUAACUGGAGGACCGAACCGACUAAUGUUGAAAAAUUAGCGGAUGACCUGUGGCUGGGGGUGAAAGGCCAAUCAAACCGGGAGAUAGCUGGUUCUCCCCGAAAGCUAUUUAGGUAGCGCCUCGUGAAUUCAUCUCCGGGGGUAGAGCACUGUUUCGGCUAGGGGGCCAUCCCGGCUUACCAACCCGAUGCAAACUGCGAAUACCGGAGAAUGUUAUCACGGGAGACACACGGCGGGUGCUAACGUCCGUCGUGAAGAGGGAAACAACCCAGACCGCCAGCUAAGGUCCCAAAGUCAUGGUUAAGUGGGAAACGAUGUGGGAAGGCCCAGACAGCCAGGAUGUUGGCUUAGAAGCAGCCAUCAUUUAAAGAAAGCGUAAUAGCUCACUGGUCGAGUCGGCCUGCGCGGAAGAUGUAACGGGGCUAAACCAUGCACCGAAGCUGCGGCAGCGAACGUAUCACCCAAGACAACUUUACGGAGUUGACGAUUGACGGAGCGAAGCGACGUCAAAGCGUUCAUUAAAGUCGAGUUGGCUUAGGGAUACGUUCGUUGGGUAGGGGAGCGUUCUGUAAGCCUGUGAAGGUGUGUCGUGAGGCAUGCUGGAGGUAUCAGAAGUGCGAAUGCUGACAUAAGUAACGAUAAAGCGGGUGAAAAGCCCGCUCGCCGGAAGACCAAGGGUUCCUGUCCAACGUUAAUCGGGGCAGGGUGAGUCGACCCCUAAGGCGAGGCCGAAAGGCGUAGUCGAUGGGAAACGGGUUAAUAUUCCCGUACUUGGUGUUACUGCGAAGGGGGGACGGAGAAGGCUAUGUUGGCCGGGCGACGGUUGUCCCGGUUUAAGCGUGUAGGUGUGUGUUCCAGGUAAAUCCGGUUCACUUUAACACUGAGGCGUGACGACGAGGCACUACGGUGCUGAAGCAACAAAUGCCCUGCUUCCAGGAAAAGCCUCUAAGCAUCAGGUAACAUCAAAUCGUACCCCAAACCGACACAGGUGGUCAGGUAGAGAAUACCAAGGCGCUUGAGAGAACUCGGGUGAAGGAACUAGGCAAAAUGGUGCCGUAACUUCGGGAGAAGGCACGCUGACACGUAGGUGAAGUGAUUUACUCAUGGAGCUGAAGUCAGUCGAAGAUACCAGCUGGCUGCAACUGUUUAUUAAAAACACAGCACUGUGCAAACACGAAAGUGGACGUAUACGGUGUGACGCCUGCCCGGUGCCGGAAGGUUAAUUGAUGGGGUCAGCGCAAGCGAAGCUCCUGAUCGAAGCCCCGGUAAACGGCGGCCGUAACUAUAACGGUCCUAAGGUAGCGAAAUUCCUUGUCGGGUAAGUUCCGACCUGCACGAAUGGCGUAAUGAUGGCCAGGCUGUCUCCACCCGAGACUCAGUGAAAUUGAACUCGCUGUGAAGAUGCAGUGUACCCGCGGCAAGACGGAAAGACCCCGUGAACCUUUACUAUAGCUUGACACUGAACAUUGAGCCUUGAUGUGUAGGAUAGGUGGGAGGCUUUGAAGUGUGGACGCCAGUCUGCAUGGAGCCGACCUUGAAAUACCACCCUUUAAUGUUUGAUGUUCUAACGUGGACCCGUAAUCCGGGUUGCGGACAGUGUCUGGUGGGUAGUUUGACUGGGGCGGUCUCCUCCUAAAGAGUAACGGAGGAGCACGAAGGUUGGCUAAUCCUGGUCGGACAUCAGGAGGUUAGUGCAAUGGCAUAAGCCAGCUUGACUGCGAGCGUGACGGCGCGAGCAGGUGCGAAAGCAGGUCAUAGUGAUCCGGUGGUUCUGAAUGGAAGGGCCAUCGCUCAACGGAUAAAAGGUACUCCGGGGAUAACAGGCUGAUACCGCCCAAGAGUUCAUAUCGACGGCGGUGUUUGGCACCUCGAUGUCGGCUCAUCACAUCCUGGGGCUGAAGUAGGUCCCAAGGGUAUGGCUGUUCGCCAUUUAAAGUGGUACGCGAGCUGGGUUUAGAACGUCGUGAGACAGUUCGGUCCCUAUCUGCCGUGGGCGCUGGAGAACUGAGGGGGGCUGCUCCUAGUACGAGAGGACCGGAGUGGACGCAUCACUGGUGUUCGGGUUGUCAUGCCAAUGGCACUGCCCGGUAGCUAAAUGCGGAAGAGAUAAGUGCUGAAAGCAUCUAAGCACGAAACUUGCCCCGAGAUGAGUUCUCCCUGAGACUU